This 468-nucleotide ribosomal RNA is filed under the name uncultured bacterium. RNAcentral's name for it is "partial 16S ribosomal RNA". It matches the Rfam family "Bacterial small subunit ribosomal RNA", at positions 28 to 507 of the family's 1533-position model. The record is from RNAcentral.
GACGAACGCUGGCGGCGUGCUUAACACAUGCAAGUCGAACGGAAAGGCCCUGCUUUUGUGGGGUGCUCGAGUGGCGAACGGGUGAGUAACACGUGAGUAACCUGCCCUUGACUUUGGGAUAACUUCAGGAAACUGGGGCUAAUACCGGAUAGGAGCUCCUGCUGCAUGGGGGGGGUUGGAAAGUUUCGGCGGUUGGGGAUGGACUCGCGGCUUAUCAGCUUGUUGGUGGGGUAGUGGCUUACCAAGGCUUUGACGGGUAGCCGGCCUGAGAGGGUGACCGGCCACAUUGGGACUGAGAUACGGCCCAGACUCCUACGGGAGGCAGCAGUGGGGAAUAUUGCACAAUGGGCGGAAGCCUGAUGCAGCAACGCCGCGUGCGGGAUGACGGCCUUCGGGUUGUAAACCGCUUUCGCCUGUGACGAAGCGUGAGUGACGGUAAUGGGUAAAGAAGCACCGGCUAACUCCGUG